AACGAACGCUGGCGGCAUGCCUAACACAUGCAAGUCGAACGAGAUCUUCGGGUCUAGUGGCGCACGGGUGCGUAACGCGUGGGAAUCUGCCCUUUGGUUCGGAAUAACAGUUGGAGACGACUGCUAAUACCGGAUGAUGACGAAAGUCCAAAGAUUUAUCGCCAGAGGAUGAGCCCGCGUAGGAUUAGCUAGUUGGUGUGGUAAAGGCGCACCAAGGCGACGAUCCUUAGCUGGUCUGAGAGGAUGAUCAGCCACACUGGGACUGAGACACGGCCCAGACUCCUACGGGAGGCAGCAGUGGGGAAUAUUGGACAAUGGGCGAAAGCCUGAUCCAGCAAUGCCGCGUGAGUGAUGAAGUCCUUAGGGUUGUAAAGCUCUUUUACCCGGGAUGAUAAUGACAGUACCGGGAGAAUAAGCUCCGGCUAACUCCGUGCCAGCAGCCGCCGUAA
RNAcentral lists this ribosomal RNA (449 nucleotides) under uncultured bacterium. RNAcentral's name for it is "partial 16S ribosomal RNA". It matches the Rfam family "Bacterial small subunit ribosomal RNA", at positions 29 to 523 of the family's 1533-position model. The record is from RNAcentral.